UUUCUUCAUUUUCAAUUAUAAUUUGGUCUACAUAUAGUAUCUAUGUAUGGAUCAAUUCAAAUAUACAGUGAAAUAUAACCCAUGGUCUUGGUUGUUCUGGUCAAUUCGAAUAUAAUUUGGUCUACACCGUUGCUCACCACCGUCGCUCACCACCGCCACCGCCACAAAUCACAGGUUUACAUUUUGUCUUGAAGAUAAAAGGAGAUCCAAAUUGUAAAUUUUGUUUCCUAAAGAGCACAGUUAGAUGGAGGACUGGGGCAAUAUUUAAUGGCUUUAUUUUUGCAACAUUUCAGUUUCCAAGCUUGAUGGAGUAUUAGGACGAGCCAAUUCUACCUCCUCUAAAAAAGAAGUAACCGAAGAAUAGAUGGGAUGACAAAGAUGUGGAUGAAAAUGAUGUGAAGGAUUCCUGGGAGGAUGAAAAAGAAACUGCUCUGAUGGUUUUUGGCAUGGAAUUGUGGAUACGAUUUUUUUUGACAAGUACGAAAGAAAUUGUUUUUAGUCUACAAAUUAGUAUUGUUCGUACACAUUAGUUUUAUGGCGUGGUACAGCUUAGCUUUUGACGUGGUACAGAUAAAUUUUUGAUGCGGUACGAAUUACUUUUUGAUGUGGUACACAUUACUUUUUAGGCAUGGUACAGAUUACCUUUUGGCGUGGUAUAAAUUAGUUUUUGAUAGUACAGAUUAACUUUUGGAUAUUAA
Long non-coding RNA from Camellia sinensis, 698 nucleotides. RefSeq lists it as uncharacterized. The record is from RefSeq and is a predicted model, not a curated record. Lineage: Eukaryota; Viridiplantae; Streptophyta; Magnoliopsida; Ericales; Theaceae.